This 252-nucleotide ribosomal RNA is filed under the name uncultured bacterium. RNAcentral's name for it is "partial 16S ribosomal RNA". It matches the Rfam family "Bacterial small subunit ribosomal RNA", at positions 524 to 775 of the family's 1533-position model. The record is from RNAcentral.
UACGGAGGGGGCUAGCGUUGUUCGGAAUUACUGGGCGUAAAGCGCACGUAGGCGGCUUUGUAAGUUAGAGGUGAAAGCCCGGGGCUCAACUCCGGAAUUGCCUUUAAGACUGCAUCGCUAGAAUUGUGGAGAGGUAAGUGGAAUUCCGAGUGUAGAGGUGAAAUUCGUAGAUAUUCGGAAGAACACCAGUGGCGAAGGCGACUUGCUGGACACAUAUUGACGCUGAGGUGCGAAAGCGUGGGGAGCAAACAG